This 452-nucleotide ribosomal RNA is filed under the name uncultured bacterium. Its description in RNAcentral is "bacterial SSU rRNA". It matches the Rfam family "Bacterial small subunit ribosomal RNA", at positions 28 to 466 of the family's 1533-position model. The record is from RNAcentral.
GAUGAACGCUAGCUACAGGCUUAACACAUGCAAGUCGAGGGGAAACGAUAGAGAAAGCUUGCUUUUUCUAGGCGUCGACCGGCGCACGGGUGAGUAACGCGUAUCCAACCUGCCCAUCACUUGGGGAUAACCUUGCGAAAGUAAGACUAAUACCCAAUGAUAUCUCUAGAAGACAUCUGAAAGAGAUUAAAGAUUUAUCGGUGAUGGAUGGGGAUGCGUCUGAUUAGCUUGUUGGCGGGGUAACGGCCCACCAAGGCGACGAUCAGUAGGGGUUCUGAGAGGAAGGUCCCCCACAUUGGAACUGAGACACGGGUCCAAACUCCUACGGGAGGCAGCAGUGAGGAAUAUUGGGUCAAUGGACGAGAGUCUGAACCAGCCAAGUAGCGUGCAGGAUGACGGCCCUAUGGGUUGUAAACUGCUUUUAUAAGGGAAUAAAGUGGGAGUCGUGACUC